UUUUGACACUUCGCCUGGUUCGUUGGGACUGAAUGUGGAAGCUUAGUCCAGAUCAACAGCUUCCCACAUUGCUGAAGACAGCUCUGUGGAACUGGCUGGCUGGCAGCUUGGACCUAGCAAGAUGCUGGAAAGGCAGAAAAUUAGCAUCAUGGUAUUACCUUAAUAUCCAGGAGACAGAACUUGCCGGAUGUCAGGGGGUGUCUGUGAGAAAGUGGGCUGUGCUGUAUGAACCCCCUGAAGUGAUUGAGGUAGGUUUAGGCUUUGGAAUGUUGCUGUUCUAGCUGCUUGGUCAGCUCGGUGAAGGCAAAGAUAUUUUGAGAUUGAGAGCUGAGUAGAAUAGAGGAAAAAAAGCAUCCUUAAGAUCUAGAACUAAGAAGUGGGAGGUUCCUGGGAGGGGUAGUGGAAAGAAGUGUGUAAGGGUUAGGCACUACAGGCUGAAGAGGAACCACUGCAGAGUUAAUGAGCUGGAGGUCUUGAACCAGACGAUAGGUUCCAUUAGUGUCAGGAGCCAUUCCCCCCCCCCCCAAAUUGACAGAGCCUAUCCCACACCCAAUUAUCUGUUAAUAGAGAGAUAUCUGUUAGCGGAACCUGCCCCACAUUCUAACUAUCUAGAGAACUAGGUGUGUCAACUUGCGACUUCCUGACCGAGGAAUCAUGACCUGACUGAUCGUAACCUCCUAGCCAACGACCUCGGGACCGGCUGGAACCACCACUGCAAGAUUCCUUCCUGCCCAUGCCCUUGCCCCCCAAAUUCCUCAUCCAGGGGCUAUAUAAGCUGUA
Alexandromys fortis (reed vole) is the source of this 780-nucleotide long non-coding RNA. RefSeq lists it as uncharacterized. Lineage: Eukaryota; Metazoa; Chordata; Mammalia; Rodentia; Cricetidae. The record is from RefSeq and is a predicted model, not a curated record. The transcript has 3 exons.